UUAUAUUCUGUCAACAUUUUUGUUAAAUAUGAGGGCAAAUUGAUCAUUUUGUACGUUAAAAAUAAAUAAAUACUAAAAUGAAAUAAAAAGCUCACUCUAUCAUCCAUACAUACAGGGAAAAGUCUAGCUGAGUGGAGGUAUUUGCAUCCCUGAAUCUGCUCCUCCUUGGAUUAGUUCAAGGCUUGUUGAUGAUUUGCUAGGAAUUGCUCACAAUGUGUUGGUUUCUUUGAACCUUCCUGAGUAGUUGAUUUCUGGGGCUUGGCCCCA
This 267-nucleotide long non-coding RNA is filed under the name Prunus persica (peach). Its description in RNAcentral is "long non-coding RNA (PPER_LNC005945)". The record is from RNAcentral. Lineage: Eukaryota; Viridiplantae; Streptophyta; Magnoliopsida; Rosales; Rosaceae.